GGAAGCGGAAGACCAGAAGAGCAUCACACUGCCUCAAGUCCCAAAUUUGAUUCUGCUCCUGAUCCUGUGACUCAAAUUGUCAUUCUCUUUUACUGCUGUGGGGUGUGCUCUGGGCCCAGCUGACAGGACAUUCUUUGUACUCCACGUAUUUAUGCUGGUGGGAGUUGUAUGGCUAGUGCUUUGUGCUUUGUCUCAGAAAUUGUGUGGACUAAAUGUAAUAUGGGCAGUGAAUGGGUUUCUUCUGGAAGAUGUUAGGCCUGGAGGGUGGUUUGGGUUUUUACGAGUCUUUUUCUCAGAUUACAGAUUACGAAUGGAUGUUAUAAAACAGGCAGUGUUGACACCAUACAGUUUCUCCUAAGAAAUGUACAGAGAGUUCAAC
Molecule: long non-coding RNA, 379 nt
Filed under: Homo sapiens (human)
Lineage: Eukaryota; Metazoa; Chordata; Mammalia; Primates; Hominidae
Description: HSALNT0287662
Source: RNAcentral